CAUUCAUUUAUCUCUCCUACUUGUGCUCAACGUUUAAACUUGACUCCGGAGAAAUUAGACUUUGAUUUAUCUGUGAAGACUCCAUUAGGAGAAACUUUCAUCACAUCCACUGUUUAUAAAUCUUGUUUGAUCCAAGUUGGCACCAUCACAUUACCUGUUGACCUUAUCUCUUUAAAGAUACUUGCUUUUGAUGUGAUUUUAGGGAUUG
Molecule: long non-coding RNA, 208 nt
Filed under: Panax ginseng (ginseng)
Lineage: Eukaryota; Viridiplantae; Streptophyta; Magnoliopsida; Apiales; Araliaceae
Description: long non-coding RNA (PGIN_LNC001087)
Source: RNAcentral